CCUACGGGUGACAGCAGUGAGGAAUAUUGGUCAAUGGACGAGAGUCUGAACCAGCCAAGUAGCGUGAAGGAUGACUGCCCUAUGGGUUGUAAACUUCUUUUAUAUGGGAAUAAAAUGUUCCACGUGUGGGUUUUUGUAUGUACCAUAUGAAUAAGGAUCGGCUAACUCCGUGCCAGCAGCCGCGGUAAUACGGAGGAUCCGAGCGUUAUCCGGAUUUAUUGGGUUUAAAGGGAGCGUAGGUGGAUGGUUAAGUCAGUUGUGAAAGUUUGCGGCUCAACCGUAAAAUUGCAGUUGAAACUGGCAGUCUUGAGGACAGUAGAGGUGGGCGGAAUUCGUGGUGUAGCGGUGAAAUGCUUAGAUAUCACGAAGAACUCCGAUUGCGAAGGCAGCUCACUGGACUGCAACUGACACUGAGGCUCGAAAGUGUGGGUAUCAAACAGGAUUAGAUACCCGGGUAGUC
Molecule: ribosomal RNA, 460 nt
Filed under: uncultured bacterium
Lineage: Bacteria
Description: partial 16S ribosomal RNA
Rfam family: Bacterial small subunit ribosomal RNA
Source: RNAcentral